AUGGAAAAUUUAGAAAGGCAGAGUGAAGCAGAGGACAACUACAAUGGGGUGUUAGGACAACAUAGAUCAGAGGUGAUGGAUCCGUCACAGUCACACAGCAACAACCCGAAUCCGAAUCUGAAUCCACUGGCUUCAUCGGUGCCGCUUUGGCCGGCGAUCGAUGGUUCACCAGGUCUGUCGGAGGAAGAAUCAGUCAAGUAUGCUCGAAGGUUCUACAAAUUCGGUUUCGCACUUCAUCCUCUUCUUUGGGCCGUCAAUUGCUUCUACUUCUAG
Non-coding RNA from Vicia faba (fava bean), 273 nucleotides. Lineage: Eukaryota; Viridiplantae; Streptophyta; Magnoliopsida; Fabales; Fabaceae. The record is from the annotation of a GenBank genome assembly.